AUGGCAUCUCACUACCUUAAGCCACAAGACCCAAACUUCCACAAUGUGCAUGAUAUCAUUAAGACAGAUAGAAGGGCUUAUCCGCAUCUCAAAGACUGCAUUGGUGCAAUUGAUGGGACUCAUAUAAGAGCUUCUAUUCCUGAAGGGCCUCCGAAAGUGAGGUACAUUGGAAGAACGGGCGCGACAACUCAGAAUGUGAUGGCGGUAUGUGACUUUGAUAUGCACUUUACUUAUGCUUCAAUUGGCCAACCUGGUUCUAUGCAUGAUACAAAUGUGCUAUACCAUGCAAUUGAGAAGGACAAGCCCUCCUUCCCCCAUCCUCCAAAGGACAAGUAUUACCUUGUAGAUGCCGGUUAUCCUAAUAGAGUUGGAUAUCUAGCACCAUACAAAGGAGAACGGUAUCAUGUCCCUGACUUUCAAAGAGGUGCACCUCCAAAUACUCCCAAGGAGAAGUUCAACAAGAUUCACUCCUCCAAACGAAAUUGCAUAGAGAGAACCUUUGGAGUGCGGAAGAUGAAAUGGCAAAUUCUCCUCAAGAUGCCAAACUACUCAUUUCAAACACAGAUGAAGAUAGUUGCAGCUACUAUGAAAUUGCACAACUAUGUUCGCCUCCAUGACAAAGAUGAUAUCCACUUUGUUCGAUGUGAAAGGGAUCCGAAUUAUGUUCCAACAAUUCCGGAUAGAUAUAAGAAGUAUGUUAUUCCUUCGAGUGCAUCAGAUGCUUCAACUUCGGAGGCAAGUACUCCUGACAUGGAUAGGUUUAGGAAUGAACUAGCUACCGCCAUUGCUCUUGGUUGGUGA
RNAcentral lists this ribosomal RNA (801 nucleotides) under Triticum aestivum (bread wheat). Its description in RNAcentral is "partial small subunit ribosomal RNA". The record is from RNAcentral. Lineage: Eukaryota; Viridiplantae; Streptophyta; Magnoliopsida; Poales; Poaceae.